Molecule: long non-coding RNA, 796 nt
Organism: Anneissia japonica
Lineage: Eukaryota; Metazoa; Echinodermata; Crinoidea; Comatulida; Comatulidae
Exons: 2
Source: RefSeq, a predicted model, not a curated record
CAUAAUAACCCCAGGCAUACAAUAUCAGAUUUCCAGUAGACAUGGAAAGAUACACAAUUUUUUUGAUAAUUUUAUUUGUCACAUAAAUGUAGAAUUAUAAUUUUUAUUAAUAAUAAUAAUGUAAAAUUUUAUUAUUUUACUCCACAGCACCCAAGUUAAAUGUGAAAGCUUCGAAACGUUUGAUAAGAGGGGCAAUGUUUGAUACAGGUGAAUCCAAUAAGAAGGCAAAGAAAGAAAAGCAAACAUCCUGAAACCCAUAACCAAUGAUCAGCAUUCCUCUAUGACUUCCACAAAAUUUUGAGCAGUGUGCUUCAACAGCUGAUUCUCCAAACUGGUAGAUGACCUAGAAAGGUCACCUUCCAUUUACUUUUGAGCAGUGAGAGUUGUAGGGUGAUGACCAAAAGCUAUAAACCAGUCUAUCCUAUUAAGAGAUUGCAAAUUAGUCAUUUUUGAGCUGAAAUCGUAGAAGUUGCAUUGUCAUGAUUUUCGCAGACAUACACCAUCUGUUUAAAAUACACUAUCAAUCAAGCAUGACAAAAAUAUGUGAAGGCAUAGCAAAAAAUAGAAGACUUUUUUGAGUUGGUCAAUAUUUUGAAAUAAUUUGUUAUCUUCAUUUUCGCAAGUUCCCACAAUCAUUCCCAUAUCAUGAUUUACAGGAAAGGAGUGAUUUUAUUUUUUUGUGAGUGAUGUCAGUGAAAGAUGAUUUUAUCCAGACAAUGAAGACAUGUCCACUGUAUUGAUAUUUUGUAAAUGUGUAAUUUUAUUAAGAAAAUAAAAGUAACAUAAUACAAAUAUA